UCCAAAAACCAUCACACUGGCGGUGAGGAUUUCAACAUAUGCAUUGGGAGGGGAGGGAUGCACACAUUUAGUCCAUUGGCCCUUCUCACAAAAACUACAAUUUGCUUGAAUUAAUGCCAUACUCAAGGCCUAUGUCGCAAGGGAUCUGAGAAUACAGAGGAGGCAAGUCAACAAAAGAAGAGUCAGGGGAAGUAUCACAGAUGAAGAGGCAUCUGAGCUCAGUGUUAUGGAAUGAAGGAAAUCAACACUCAGAGAAAAGGGGAAAGCAUGAAUGCAGUCCCCCACUACCACAAAUCAUGCAGUCGAGUUUCGCACUUUUGGGGAAAUCACAGGGGUCAGCACACCCAGAGUGCAAUGGAUAAACCUCGCCCUGGGAAAACCACCUUCGUGAUCAUGUUAUCUCCCCUGCCAGCUUAUUCAGAUGAUGUGAAUACCGGCUAAUUAUUGCAACGAUGUUUGCUUCCAAGCAUUAAA
Molecule: long non-coding RNA, 474 nt
Filed under: Homo sapiens (human)
Lineage: Eukaryota; Metazoa; Chordata; Mammalia; Primates; Hominidae
Description: HSALNT0368723
Source: RNAcentral